This 234-nucleotide ribosomal RNA is filed under the name Marinobacter sp. enrichment culture clone AYS4. RNAcentral's name for it is "partial 16S ribosomal RNA". It matches the Rfam family "Bacterial small subunit ribosomal RNA", at positions 1261 to 1495 of the family's 1533-position model. The record is from RNAcentral. Lineage: Bacteria; Pseudomonadati; Pseudomonadota; Gammaproteobacteria; Pseudomonadales; Marinobacteraceae.
GGGGGAGCCAAUCUCACAAAACGCGUCGUAGUCCGGAUCGGAGUCUGCAACUCGACUCCGUGAAGUCGGAAUCGCUAGUAAUCGUGAAUCAGAAUGUCACGGUGAAUACGUUCCCGGGCCUUGUACACACCGCCCGUCACACCAUGGGAGUGGAUGCACCAGAAGUGGUUAGUCUAACCUUCGGGAGGACGAUCACCACGGUGUGGUUCAUGACUGGGGUGAAGUCGUAACAAG